UAAGAAGGGUGCAAGAGGUAAUCGGAAUUACUGGGCGUAAAGCGCGCGUAGGUGGUUCGUUAAGUUGGAUGUGAAAGCCCCGGGCUCAACCUGGGAACUGCAUCCAAAACUGGCGAGCUAGAGUAUGGCAGAGGGUGGUGGAAUUUCCUGUGUAGCGGUGAAAUGCGUAGAUAUAGGAAGGAACACCAGUUGCGAAGGCGACCAACUGGGCUAAUACUGACACUGAUGUGCGCCAGCGUGUGGAGCCAACAUGAGUAGAUACCCGCGUAGAC
This 272-nucleotide ribosomal RNA is filed under the name uncultured bacterium. RNAcentral's name for it is "partial 16S ribosomal RNA". It matches the Rfam family "Bacterial small subunit ribosomal RNA", at positions 524 to 796 of the family's 1533-position model. The record is from RNAcentral.